UUCAGCAGCUGGAAGAUCAUUUUCCCAGUCUGGUCACUGCAGGAAAAUACAUAUAUUUAUAUAUUUGAAUCCUGAAUCAUUCAUUCCUCAGUGUCAUUUCAACUCUCAAAGCUCUUCGGGGGAAUGACAUGGGUAACGUUUUGUAUUUUUUCUAGGGUCACGUGGGUUUGUUUUGUUGGGAGCUUGCCUGCUAACGGCAACUUCCUAGCUUUGACUUAUUGAACUAACCUAGCUAAUAACGUCCUCGUCAUUCCUGCAGGUAUUUUAGAUCGAUACAACGCGAGGGGGAGAUGUCAUUGCAGUUUGCAUAUAUUUAUUUAAUUUGGGGCACGUGACAAAAAGAAGAAUGAACAUACGAUGUCGUUUGAAGUGUUUCAUGCGUUGAGACCUGUUUUUGUUGUCGACCUAUAGUCACAUCAUGGUAUAACUAUUCAUAAUUAAUGAGUGGGCUGCCAGUGUUUGAGCUAUUAUCAAACUGGGAUACUCAAUAUGCUAACAAUGGACAACCCCAAAUUAAAAAAGAAAAUUAACCUAAUCAACUUAAAUUAACUGAACUUCGUUUGUUCUUUAGAUUCUAUUAACCAAGUAAAAGUCACAUCAACAGGCUAAGAUAAGGCCACAUGUCUGCUAUUGUUGUAGCACCCUGUGUGGGCUAUGUGACUGCUGUAUGAUCAUACAGUAUGUGUGUGCUCAAAGAUUCACAGGCCACUUUGCUGGUGUGUUUUGAGUGUGAUUGACAUGUGUGUGUUUUCAGCCCAUCUUCUCUCAGUGCAUCUAUCUGCCAAAAAUCCUGAGACUGUUCUUUGGGUUAUAGAUGCUUUGUGUUUCUACCUUUUUAACUGCAAUGUUCUUUAGCGCAAAUAAAUAAUGCCGCAGUCACCUGCCCCCCCCUUUCAGAGGGCCCCCUGCUGCCCCUGUCCUCACUGAGGCUCCUGGUUCCACCUCUGAGGGUGAUGACGGCGGUGAUGUGGAAGGUGCUUCGUCUGAGGAGCGUCACUCAUUAUGGGAUAGUGGAGGAGUUUGUGUCCUUGGUAACUGAAGCCGUCCCUGAUAUCUUGACAGACCGACAGAUGAGGCUGCUCACUCUGGGCUUAAGAGCAAAGAUGACAUUACAGAUGUUAAGUUCUGAACAGUCACAGGAUCGCAGAGGUGUUGAAACACUCUUGAGCAGCCUUCUGCCAUCUCGCUCGAAACAGGCGAGUGUAACUUUUUCAAUUGGGGCCAUUUCUGUCUGUUUAAGAAGUGUUCGGCUUAUAUAUUUAGGUGUGUAUAUUUUCCUUCACAGGUUGAUCCAGGAAAUGAAGCUCUUGAAGCCAACUUCGCCGAGCUCGUUCAAAGACUCCUGGAGGACCCGAAAGAGAGAGAGCACUUCCUCAAGAAUGUGUUUCCUGUGGAGUUUGGGCAUGACUUUGAUGCGGCUUUGGAGACACUGGUUUGUGAGUUUUUCACCAGACUGGAAAAGUUGCUGCUCAUACCAGACUUUAAGCAGACCGCAGUGUGGAUGAGUGAUACACCCUCUCUGCUAGAAGAGUACAUGCAGUGUGUAUCCAAAGAAGAUGACCUUAAAGUACUGCUCAGAAGCAAGGCCCACUGUGGUAAAAUGGCCGAGAUGGAUACCGGUGGUAAGUCAGUGUGCCUUGGAUAACAAUCAGGGGUUUUAUGUGCAUAUUAGUGCUGUGAUUCAUCAGAGUGAUUUCAAAAAUACCAUAGCACAAACACAACCACAGGGACUGCUAAAAUCAACACACAAUUAAAGUUCCUUGUAGUAGCUUUAAUUGAACAAAAUAAUCAACAGAUUAAUUGAUCAUGACAAUUAUUUUUGUUAGCAGCCCCAUUGCAGAUAUAUUACAGACACUUUGAGAAGUAACACCCUUAAUUUGUACUAAAUGUAAAAUAACAAAUCUCUCACUUUUUAAAUGUCUCUUUUCCAACAGUGCCCUCUCCCUCGGAGCAGCGGCUCUUCUCAUCCUUCGCUCUUCCUCCGCGAGAGACCACCUCCAAAGAUGUGGAAUCUAACGCACAAACAUUUCAGAGCCGAAGAGAACCUCAUGGGAUUC
Long non-coding RNA from Cyclopterus lumpus (lumpfish), 2057 nucleotides. NCBI's taxonomy places the organism in Eukaryota, Metazoa, Chordata, Actinopteri, Perciformes, Cyclopteridae. The record is from Ensembl.